CUAAAAUGCACGUACAUGAGACAUCUCAAGUUUUAUAAAUUUUCGUUUCUUGGAAUCUUGCAGAGCAUUUCUUUUCUCUAGUGAAAGGAGUAGGUCCGGUAAGGACCGAUUUUGGCCUCAUAUUUCAGGUUCAUCUUACGAAAGAUUUUGACCACUUUUUAAGCACUUAAGUGUCUAUUUCAUUUGAAUCAAUUAAUUUAUGUGAAAGAUUUUAACUGAUUUAGUCAUUAAAAACGACCCGAUUCAAGCUCAAAUAUGAAAAGACAAAUCUACCAAAUAUGCCGAAAAAUGUCACUUUUCAGAUGGUUUUUGUCAAAAACGAAAGUGGCCGCAUCCGUGUUCAUCCUUAACCUUUAUAUAUGUUAUGUAUUAUUAUAAAAUACAACUUACAUUUCAAUAUUAUGGAUGAACACGAAUGCGGCCACUUUCGUUUCACACGAAAACCGUCUGAAAUUUAACUAAAAUGCUAGAAUUGUGAAGAUUUCAGUAAUUUAACAUGACUUAAUGGUGCUAGUACCGA
This 520-nucleotide long non-coding RNA is filed under the name Mytilus galloprovincialis (Mediterranean mussel). Lineage: Eukaryota; Metazoa; Mollusca; Bivalvia; Mytilida; Mytilidae. The record is from RNAcentral.